Molecule: microRNA, 22 nt
Filed under: Drosophila ananassae
Lineage: Eukaryota; Metazoa; Arthropoda; Insecta; Diptera; Drosophilidae
Also listed under: 1 other name
Description: Dan-Mir-974_3p* (star (passenger))
Source: RNAcentral
UAUAACUUUUUUGGAAGCUACG